RNAcentral lists this ribosomal RNA (256 nucleotides) under uncultured bacterium. Its description in RNAcentral is "partial 16S ribosomal RNA". It matches the Rfam family "Bacterial small subunit ribosomal RNA", at positions 99 to 354 of the family's 1533-position model. The record is from RNAcentral.
CGGACGGGUGAGUAACGCGUGGGCAACCUGCCCUUAUCUGGGGGAUAACAGUUGGGAAACGACUGAUAAUACCGCAUAAUAUGGUUUGAAGGCAUCUUCUUUCCAUCAAAGAUUUAUCGGAUAAGGAUGGGCCCGCGUCUGAUUAGCUUGUUGGUGAGGUAACGGCUCACCAAGGCGACGAUCAGUAGCCGACCUGAGAGGGUGAUCGGCCACAUUGGAACUGAGACACGGUCCAAACUCCUACGGGAGGCAGCAG